Molecule: ribosomal RNA, 854 nt
Filed under: uncultured Methanosaeta sp.
Lineage: Archaea; Methanobacteriati; Methanobacteriota; Methanomicrobia; Methanotrichales; Methanotrichaceae
Description: bacterial SSU rRNA
Rfam family: Archaeal small subunit ribosomal RNA
Source: RNAcentral
CGCCGCAGGAUGGGUCUGCGGCCGAUUAGGUAGUUGUUGGGGUAAUGGCCCAACAAGCCUGUAAUCGGUACGGGUUGUGGGAGCAAGAGCCCGGAGAUGGAUUCUGAGACAUGAAUCCAGGCCCUACGGGGCGCAGCAGGCGCGAAAACUUUACAAUGCGGGAAACCGUGAUAAGGGAACCCCGAGUGCCCGUAGAAUCGGGCUGUUGAUCUGUGUAAAAAGCAGGUAAAGAAAGGGCCGGGCAAGACCGGUGCCAGCCGCCGCGGUAAUACCGGCGGCUCGAGUGGUGGCCACUAUUACUGGGCUUAAAGCGUUCGUAGCUGGGUUGUUAAGUCUCUUGGGAAAUCCACCGGCUCAACCGAUGGGCGACCAGGGGAAACUGGCAUUCUAGGGACCGGGAGAGGUGAGAGGUACUCCAGGGGUAGGGGUGAAAUCUUGUAAUCCUUGAAGGACCACCAGUGGCGAAGGCGUCUCACCGGAACGGACCUGACGGCAAGGGACGAAAGCUAGGGGCACGAACCGGAUUAGAUACCCGGGUAGUCCUAGCCGUAAACGAUACUCGCUAGGUGUCGGCCACGGUGCGACCGUUGUCGGUGCCGUAGGGAAGCCGUGAAGCGAGCCACCUGGGAAGUACGGCCGCAAGGCUGAAACUUAAAGGAAUUGGCGGGGGAGCACCACAACGGGUGGAGCUUGCGGUUUAAUUGGAUUCAACGCCGGAAAUCUUACCGGGACCGACAGCAAUAUGAAGGCCAGGCUGAAGACUUUGCCGGAUUAGCUGAGAGGUGGUGCAUGGCCGUCGUCAGUUCGUACUGUGAAGCAUCCUGUUAAGUCAGGUAACGAGCGAGACCCAAAUC